Molecule: long non-coding RNA, 406 nt
Organism: Chinchilla lanigera (long-tailed chinchilla)
Lineage: Eukaryota; Metazoa; Chordata; Mammalia; Rodentia; Chinchillidae
Exons: 3
Source: RefSeq, a predicted model, not a curated record
GUGACCUGGUUUUGCUUGUUCUGAAGGUUCUCAAAGUAAUAUAAUACGUAUUUUGCUAUGAUUCAGAGAGAAUCAAGGUUUGUAUCUGAUUUGGGUCCAGGUCAUGCAGGAGACGUAAAGUGGUACAAGAACCCAAGAAGUUGGUAAACUUUUCAUGAAUAUUUUCUGGCUUGAUCUCUUCAUCAUUCUCUCUAUGCAUAAGAGGCAUAUACCAUGCCAGAAAGCAUGAAGAGCUUGAAGAAUGUGCAUGUCAGCCUCCAUUACACAUGGCCUUUCCAGUUUUGAAUACUCAAUAAAAGACUUACUCAGAGUUUCGGUCCACAGACUAUUUAACAUUGUACUGCCUCCUAAUACUUGGGAAUAACACAGCAAUCUUUGAGAUGGGAUGUGAUAUGCAUAUUUACUA